GGUCAGUAUGGGCUGUCACCAGGCCACGUGAAGAGGGAGGAAUCUUCCCUAGUGCAGGGCACUGAGCAAGCAGGUGCAAAUCCUGCAGACUUAGGCAGCAAACCUGGGCCUAUGAGAAAGGGUUUUCUCCUCCUGGGACAGGAUAGAGCUCGCAAAUCCCAUUUGCAAGGAAGGAAUAAACUUGUUUUCCACCUUAGCAGGUCAUUGAGCUGUACCUGAGAAAGUCUUGGAAGUGUGUGGCUGUGGAUGGGUCACUACCUAGCCGCACUGGAAGCAGCAAUGGGUGUGUUUAACACCUGUCCGUGAAAAGGAUGACACGAGACACAUUUUAAAGCUGCCUCGGUUUACCUUCUACUCUGUCUCUGCCCUUUGCUUUCUUCUAAGUGCAAAUUUCAUCCAGAAAAUAGCAAUCUACUGAACCAAGAUGGAGACGCUUGUUUUCUGACAACAACUUCAUCUCGCCUUUUCCUGGAAUCAUCCCGAAUCUAUCAUCUGAUGUACUAUUUAAACCUUGGUGUAAUUUCUUAGGUUCAAAGAUGAACAUGACUCUCUCAUGUGCCAUCACUGGAAAAGAAUGCAAACAUCAACACAAAGAAUUGAAAUUAAGCAGUAAGACAGGAAAAAUGCCAGAUGCUGGCUAUAACAGGUGUCCACAGCCAUGGUUGGCAGAUCUUCGGAGCCCCUGGGCCCCUUCUCUGUUUGCAAAA
This 707-nucleotide long non-coding RNA is filed under the name Cavia porcellus (domestic guinea pig). RNAcentral describes it as "lncRNA (ENSCPOG00000036914.1)". The record is from RNAcentral. Lineage: Eukaryota; Metazoa; Chordata; Mammalia; Rodentia; Caviidae.